UACAGAGGUGGCAAGCGUUGUUCGGAAUUACUGGGCGUAAAGGGCGCGUAGGUGGUCUUGCAAGUCCUGUGUGAAAUCCCUCGGCUCAACUGAGGAACUGCACAGGAAACUGCUUGGCUUGAGUUCGGGAGAGGGAAGCGGAAUUCCGGGUGUAGCGGUGAAAUGCGUAGAUAUCCGGAGGAACACCGGUGGCGAAGGCGGCUUCCUGGACCGACACUGACGCUGAGGCGCGAAAGCUAGGGAAGCAAACGGG
Molecule: ribosomal RNA, 253 nt
Filed under: uncultured bacterium
Lineage: Bacteria
Description: partial 16S ribosomal RNA
Rfam family: Bacterial small subunit ribosomal RNA
Source: RNAcentral